This 238-nucleotide ribosomal RNA is filed under the name uncultured bacterium. Its description in RNAcentral is "partial 16S ribosomal RNA". It matches the Rfam family "Bacterial small subunit ribosomal RNA", at positions 15 to 245 of the family's 1533-position model. The record is from RNAcentral.
GAUCAUGGCUCAGGAUGAACGCUAGCUACAGGCUUAACACAUGCAAGUCGAGGGGCAGCGGGAAGUCAGCUUGCUGACUUUGCCGGCGACCGGCGCACGGGUGAGUAACACGUAUCCAACCUUCCCGUUACUCUGGAAUAGCCUUUCGAAAGAAAGAUUAAUACCGGAUAGUAUCGAGAGAUUGCAUGAUUACCCGAUUAAAGNUUCAUCGGUAACGGAUGGGGUGCGUUCCAUUAGG